Bubalus bubalis (water buffalo) is the source of this 864-nucleotide long non-coding RNA. RefSeq lists it as uncharacterized. Lineage: Eukaryota; Metazoa; Chordata; Mammalia; Artiodactyla; Bovidae. The transcript is spliced from 4 exons. The record is from RefSeq and is a predicted model, not a curated record.
CCUGGGAAUUUGUUACCAGUGGGGCAAAAGGGACUUUGUAUCAUAGAUGUAAUUUUACCGACCUUCAGAUGUAAGAGAGAAGCUGGGGUUGCUCAGGUGGAUUCUAUCAAGACAUAUGAGCCUUUAGAGGUCAGAGCACUUUCCUGGCAGAAUGAAGAAGCUGAGGAGAAGGGCUGUAGGAGCCGAGUCGGAGAGCUGCGAGCUUGACUAAAGUGCGCUGAGCUGUGGCUGGCAGGGAAACAAGGGGGCCUGAGUAAGGCCUCCAGGAGCUCAGGGUGAUACUCAACUGCCAGCCAGCAGGAAACCUGACUUCAGGCCUUCCACUCCAGGAAACUUUAUUCAGCCAACAGCUCGAGGGAACUUGCGAGCAGAUUCUUCCAGGGCCUUCUGACUAGAACCCAGGCUGGCUGACGUCUUGGAUCUGGCUUAAAACCUGCAGCAGAGACCAGUCAAGCUGACCCGGACUCUUCACCUACAGAAUGCUGGAUGCCUUGGAGUUCCUCCAGUGAAUACAUUCAUGUGACCAUGACAGCAGGGAAUAUCUUUGUGAAUCCAGAGGACUGACUGACCAGUAAACACCUAUCCAAAGUGACUGUUGAAUGAGACUUGAAGUAUGAGAGAGAGUUACGCAUGUGAAGAAAAGGUGAUGGGAGGAUACUUUGAGGCAUGAAGAGCAGCCAAGCAGAGUCUUCCAGCUUAUUGCCUGUUUCCCCACAGUCCAUUUGCUCCAUGAAGGCAGGAAUUAUUCUUGUUCUGUUCAUCAUGGACUCUCCAGCGUCAAGAACAUUGUUAAGAACUGAAAAGGCCGGCAAGGAAUACUUGUUCAAUGAAUAUCUAGAAUGAAUAAAAUUAUUUUACACUGUA